UUGGAAUUAAGCCUAUAAUUUAACAUAACAUAAUCAAAAAUUCAUUUGGUAAAUAUAUCAUUUGAUGUUCCAUGUUCAUCUUCUUCUUGUGCCGCCAGCCUCCUUUGUUGUCGACGGCGUCGUUCACGUCCGCCACAGCCGUAGGACAAUGGGCAUCGUCAUCGUUUCUUCCAGCCUCCCUUCUAUCCCUUUUCUUCAUCCGUCAUCGUUUCUUCCCUAAACUCUAGCAUCAGUGCGAUUUUCACACUGAAGCGAUCACGUCAGGCCCUUUUCCACAUCUUGCCCUUAAGCAUCAAGGUGAAAGGAGAUGGCUUGAUGAAACAUGCCCUGCUUGGAGAAGAAUUGAACAUGCCCUGCUACAAUUACAGUUGUUGAAGAUUGUUAGUCAUAAAUAUUUGGUUUGCUGGCCUAAAAACUGUUUAUGAACUGAGACUUUGAAAUCCAAUCCUUCAUGAACUUUUCAUACUUGACAAUUGAUACAAAAGUACUGUUAUGCAUGCAUCUCCAACUGUUACAACCAGGUUACCUCUAUAUAACAUGAGGCUUCAAAAUAGCAUGAAAGCAAAAUAUACAUCUCCAACUGUAACUUUGCCAAGGAACCAUCAACUUUAGUAAUGUAAUACUUGUUCUUGA
This is a long non-coding RNA of Lotus japonicus, 633 nucleotides long. RefSeq lists it as uncharacterized. The transcript is spliced from 2 exons. NCBI's taxonomy places the organism in Eukaryota, Viridiplantae, Streptophyta, Magnoliopsida, Fabales, Fabaceae. The record is from RefSeq and is a predicted model, not a curated record.